GUGUUGGGCAUGACACCUGAGAACUGAAGUGUUUACUCAUAUGUCUGCAGUGGUUACAAGUUCCAAAUCACGAAAGCAUCACCAAUUUCUUUCAAAUCCUCCGGUGUUAGCUCCACACCUAAUGACCGAAUGUUGCUGUCAAGGUUCCCAACUUUGGUUGUCCCUUUGCCAGAAUGGAAAACGAAACAAAGAGUUGGAACUGUCCAACAGAGCAAACUAAACGCUUCAUUCAUGGAAAUGGAUUAGGAAGAGGCGGAUACAUAACGUACCUGGGAUGGGAACUAUAUCAAUACCCUGAUGGAGCAGCCACGCUAAAGCCAACUGCACUGUAGCACAAC
Momordica charantia (bitter melon) is the source of this 338-nucleotide non-coding RNA. Lineage: Eukaryota; Viridiplantae; Streptophyta; Magnoliopsida; Cucurbitales; Cucurbitaceae. The record is from RefSeq and is a predicted model, not a curated record.